RNAcentral lists this ribosomal RNA (595 nucleotides) under Gelidiella sp. ARS-2011. RNAcentral describes it as "eukaryotic LSU rRNA". It matches the Rfam family "Eukaryotic large subunit ribosomal RNA", at positions 1284 to 1900 of the family's 3401-position model. Lineage: Eukaryota; Rhodophyta; Florideophyceae; Gelidiales; Gelidiellaceae. The record is from RNAcentral.
AACAACUCACCUGCCGAAUGAAUUAGCCCUGAAAAUGGAUGGCGCUUAAGCGGAUGACCGACACCAUGUCGUUUGAACAAUAUAAAGUUCAAAUGAGUAGGAGGACGUGGUGAUUGUGGCGAAGUAUAUAUGCGAAUAUAUAUUGAACGAUCACUAGUGCAGAUCUUGGUGGUAGUAGCAAAUAUUCAAGCGAGAUCCUUGAAGGGCGAAGUGGGGAAGGGUUCCACGCUAACAUUGAUUGGGCGUGGGUGAGUCGUUCCUAAGCCGAGUGGCAAUUGCUAAGUAUUGGCGAAAGGGAAGCGGGUUUACAUUCCCGCACACGGAUGUGGAGGCGGUGACGCUUUAUUGAGGUGAACACGUUGGCGAUGGCGCUGGGCAGAGUUGUCUUUUCUGUUUGACCGUUUGUAUAUAUGGUGUGGAGUCCGUUUGUUGGGAGAAACACAUAUAUAUGGGCAGAGCGUCGGGGCUUAUCCGACGUCCAGCUCGCCAUCGACGACCCUUGAAACUUUGCCUACUGAUAUAAGAUCCACGCCGUGGCGUACCGAUAACCGCAUCAGGUCCCCAAGGUGAACAGCCUCUGCUCAAUAUGAAAAAU